ACUCCUACGGGAGGCAGCAGUGGGGAAUAUUGCACAAUGGGGAAACCCUGAUGCAGCCAUGCCGCGUGUGUGAAGAAGGCCUUCGGUUGUAAGCACUUUCAGUAGGGAGGAAGGUAGUGUAGUUAACACCUGCACUAUUUUGACGUUACCUACAGAAGAAGCACCGGCUAACUCCGUGCCAGCAGCCGCGGUAAUACGGAGGGUGCGAGCGUUAAUCGGAAUUACUGGGCGUAAAGCGCAUGCAGGCGGCCUGUUAAGUCAGAUGUGAAAGCCCGGGGCUUAACCUCGGAAUUGCAUUUGAAACUGGCAGGCUAGAGUCUUGUAGAGGGGGUAGGAAUUUCAGGUGUAGCGGUGAAAUGCGUAGAGAUCUGAAGGAUAACCAGUGGCGAAGGCGGCCCCCUGGACCAAGACUGACGCUCAGAUGCGAAAGCGUGGGGAGC
This 440-nucleotide ribosomal RNA is filed under the name uncultured bacterium. Its description in RNAcentral is "bacterial SSU rRNA". It matches the Rfam family "Bacterial small subunit ribosomal RNA", at positions 335 to 769 of the family's 1533-position model. The record is from RNAcentral.